This 4934-nucleotide long non-coding RNA is filed under the name Sus scrofa (pig). Its description in RNAcentral is "lncRNA (ENSSSCG00030008391.1)". Lineage: Eukaryota; Metazoa; Chordata; Mammalia; Artiodactyla; Suidae. The record is from RNAcentral.
GGUCCUCAAGAUUCGUCCAUGUCGUAGAGUGUGAACUUCUUACAAGGAGAAGAGUUUUGUUCAUAAGUGUCUCAGGUACGAUGUACGUGCCCAAGGUCCAAGGAUUGUGUUAAGUGGAAAACUCUGUCUCUUUAGGGAGUUACUUUGUUCUAAAGGACCCAUCAAAGACAGAGAAGUCUGGUCUAAUAUGGUCCCUGCGGAGCUGAUCGUUGAACAGACGUUGGUUGCGGGGUGCGUAGCAGGAGUGUCUUGCAUCCUAGCUUCAUAUCUAGAUUUCAUCCUGGCUCAGUUGCAGAAAUCCUAGGGCCAAGGCCGAUUAGCUGCCCUCCCUCGUCCAACUAGGCCGCUUUAACCACAUUGGUCCCAUGAGACAGAAGCGGGCUGACUGGCAAGAUUUAAAAUAGAGCAGUAGAGACACAAACUGAGAUCCAGAGGGUGAGGGGGUGGAACAGGAAGGAUGGACACGGUAAAAACGGAACGUAAAGAGAGAGUGUCUACCUGAAACCACCAUAUAAAUUGGGAAAAUUCAGAUCUUUUGUGCUCUUGGUUUUAUUAUUUCAUUUUUAUUUUUACAUUAAAAUGUAGUUGAUUUACAAUGUGGUGUCAAUUUCUGCUGUAUAGCAAAGUGGCUUUAUAUAUAUGUAUACUUUUAUAUAUAUAUACUUUUAAAAUAUAUAAGUAUGUAUAUAAACACGCACACACAUAUAUACUUUUUUAUAUUACUUUCCAUCAUGAUCUAUCCCAGGAGAUUGGAUAUAGCGCCCUGUGCUAUGUACAGUAGGACCUCAUUGCUUAUCCAUUCUAAAUGUAAUACUUUGCAUCUACCAACCCCAAACUCCCAGGUCAUCCUACUGUGUUCUUGAUUUUAAAUAUUUGGACAUUUAAAAAAAAUCAAGAUCAUCACCAAAGAAAGGCUUCAUUUUCCUGAACUCCUAAGGUCCCCUCUCCAAACCCCCUUGAUGACUUUGUAUUAUUUCCUACUUACCCGGAGACUAUCACUUGGAGAUAGAGAAUUCUCUGUAUUUGAAGUCACGAGUAGGUAGAAAUGAGACAUUUUGGUGGGGAAAGUGGAUAGAAAUUUAGGGGGAAAUUUAAAAACAUGCAAAAUGUAAUUUUUAUAGUGCUCUGUUAGGAACCAAAUUCUCUUUCUUCUUGCCCCCUCUUUUUUUUUUUGGCUGGGAAAUAAAUAUGCAUCAUGUAUAAUUUAAUUUACAUAUUAAAUUAGAAUUUGCUAUAUCUGGAGAUGUGAUAGUCUUGGGAAAAGUUUACUUUUUCUGCUUUUCUAUGGGGAAGAUUAAGAACUGAAGGAAACCUCCCCUGAUAUUUUUAAAAACGUUUUUCAGGUUUUUACAUUUUUAGUCCUAGAAGGAAGAUAGGAAGACACACAGAUAAAGGGUCCUGCUGUCAGCAGUGGGUGGUGGGAGGCCAAAGGAGAGAAUAGAAAGAGGAGACAGGAGCCUGGGGUGGUCGGCCUAAUUUAUGAAGGUUGCAAGCAACCCAGAAGUUCAGGGGACAAACCAGCGAAUGUGGAUCCAGAGUAAGAAGCUGAGGGCAGACUCUGGGGUGAAGGACCCAGGAGGACAGGGGAUGAGCAAAGUGCAACGUUCCAGUGGAUCAUUUGGGGGCCAGGGCCCAGAAAUCCAGACCACGUAGGGAGCAGGGUUUAGUCCAGGUACAUGAAAACAGGUGGGUAGACUGUCUGUUGACUGCACAAACAUGACUGGGCUAUUGAUCCUGGGACAGGUCUGUCUGUUUCUUGCACCUGCCACCAAACCAGAUAAGUGAGGACUCAGCAAGGAUUCCAUGAACCUCGCCUAGAAAAAAAUUACUCCAGAAGUAGUCUAGCUAAUCAGAAAAUUUUAUUUAUCAAAAAUUUAUCUAUCAAAUUAAAGCACUCAAUUUUAUUUAUCAAAGCACACAAAAUAGAUAGACUAUUUAUAAUGAUCACCAAGAAAGAAAACACUAGAAUUUGGAGUCAUUGUCUAAUUAGAAUCAAUACCUUUGCAAAGCUGAAUGCAAAUGUCAAAUAUCUUGAGGCCAGAGAAUAGAUCUACUAAAUUACUCACCGCAUGUCUCCUUAGUACUUCACCCAGGGUAUAUCAUAGUUUCUCCAUAAACGCUGGUUGGAUGAAUAAUGUAAGAAAGAAAUCAAGGAUACUCCAGAACUGAAAAUCCAAGUCAUUGUGACAAAACCAGGUUUGUAAGGAAAGCUCUUAUCUAACCAAGAAAGUCUUUAGAUACUAUUUUGUUCUUCAUCUGAUGUAACUGACGUGCAUAGCAUAUUUUAUUGUGCUUCACAGAUACGGUGUUUUUCACAAACUGAAGUUUUGCGGCAACCCGGUGUUGUCAAAUGAUGGAUAAUUAUCAUUUUUUAACAAUGAAGUAUUUUUUUAGACACAAUGCUAUUGCACAUUUAAUAGACUACAUUAUAGGGUAAACGUAACUUUUAUAUGCACCUGGAAACCAAAAAAUUCGUGUGAUUUUCUUUAUUUUGGUGGUCUGGAACCAGACCCACUAUGUCUCCAAGGUAUGCCUGUAUAUAUAAAUGAUUUUAACUGAAAGAUUAAAAACAAGAUGUAAAACGUAGAAAGCAUUGGGGAAGAGUGAAAGAACAAAGGAAUAAAAGUAAUAUUGUGAAAAAGAAGAAUUUCCCUUUAACGUUGCUGAAUGUGGGGCCAGAAACCAGACUCUUCUCCUCCUACUUAACCUUGGGAAGCCCCUUGGGAGUCCUCUGUCUCCUCAUCUGAAAAAGGAUGUGAAUGGAAAUUCUAAAGAUCUCUGUGGCUCCUCCCAUAUAUGGGAAGAGAGCUUCACCCCUGGAAAGGUCUACAGGUCUAUUGCUUGUUCUCUACUGAUAUGAACAGGAUUUAAUGUAUUACAUUUGGUAGGUCAUGAGUGUAGAUUUUAACAGGAAUAUUCUGAGGCAAUGCCUGAUGCAAAAGAGAGGUUAAUGGUGAGACGGGGCCACCCAUGGUUGGAAGGCAGCUUUGGGACAGGCAAGUCUUUGUGUGCCCUUCAAAUACAUACCCCAGGAAACCAGUCAUCUCACCUACAUUUACAGUUGGCCUGAGGUAUGAGGGAGAAUCAUGGAACUUUUAAUAUAAGAUUUGCUUUAAAUCCCAUCUUUAUCAUUUUUCUACUUAUAUAACUAGGCAAAUCGAGUUGCCUAGCUGAACUGGUCAUCUGUAAAAUGGGUAUCUAUCUAAUUGAUAGGAUUUAGAGAAAAUGAGAUGAUAAGAUAUAUCUAUAUAUCUAUAUACAGAUACAUAUAUAUCUCCAGAUCACAACUAUGUAAAAAUAAUAGAUAUUAAAGAAAAAAACCCUAGAAUGCCAAUAGCAAAAAGUGGCAACAUGACAGGGAUUUGUUUCCUUUUCUCUGUCAUUCAGAUGUUCUGAAAUAUGAUGUUAAUACACUUUUAAUUAAAACAUUAUAGCUAGGGGUUCCCGUUGUGGCACAGCGGAAACGAAUCUGACUAGGAUCCAUGAGGUUGUGGGUUUGAUCCCUGGCCUCCUUCAGUGGGUUAAGGAUCCGGCGUUGCUGUGGCUGUGGAGUAGGCCAGCAGCUACAACUCUGAUUAGACCCCCAGCCUGGGAACCUCCAUCUGCCGUGGGUGCAGCCCUAAAAAGACAAAAAAAAAACAAAAACAAAAACAAAAACCAAACAAACAAACAUUAUAGCUAAGAGGCAUAUAUGCAUACAUAUGCACUUGAUGUGCUCGGUAAGCUCUAAAGCAAUACAAAACAUUCCUAUUGUGACUAGCAGUAAGGUUACAGGGUCUUGUUCUUUGUGCUGAGACUCCUAAGGGCUUUGACCCUGGGACCUCACACAGCACUGGGUCACAGUCCCUUGUACUCCAUCCAGUGACCCUGUACAGAUGCCCAUGUCCCUGAUUUUUCCUUCGAAUAUGUUGAUUCUCCUGUGUGUAUUGAAUAGAAAAUAAAAUUAGCCCAGAAAGUGCCAUCAUUGUGGACUAUUUGGGGUUGUCAGUUAUCCAGACUUAAUCUUCCUCCUUUGACUGAAGCUAGGAGGGGAUCCUCAGACCGAGGCCACCAGAGCAACAUGUUUGCCAACAGGUGACACCUUAUUUCCCAGAACACCAUUUAUAGGAAACAAAGCUACAUUUCUCAGCCUGUUACAGGCUGCCUGGAUGUUGCUCUUGACCAUGGUUCCCACCAUCUCUUCCUCUUGAAGCCUCAGAAGGAAACCAGUGAUGGUGUCGGGGGCGGGCUGGUAAGACAAGCGCCAGUUUCCUAAAGUAAGUUAAUGCCACGUGAGAGUCAGCCCUCAGCAUCUGCAGGUUCUGCAUCCAUGGACAGCUGUUUGACUGUCCCAUGCUUGAGCAUCCAUGUAUUUUGGUAUCCGAGGGGGUCCUGGAACAGAUCCCCGCCCCUGGUCUGGACAGAUGACUAUAUUCUGCUUUGUCCCUUGUCCCUCUGUGAGUUGUAAUAGUCCCUUCUUGACCUGGGCUCUAAUAUCUACCCUUUCUGCCUUUGUAACAUGGUCCUUGUUACUGCCAGAGAAUUGCCAAAGGCCAGCAGAAACUUCCAGAGUCUCCAAAUUCCCCACCGCGGGGACCCAUUUCAUUUUUUCAUUAUUGAAAACCCCAUGUGGUUAUUUUAGGACCUAGCUGAGGGUGUGGCAUGGAAUUAAAUAUUCAAUAAGUGUUGUGGAAAGGAUGAAAACCACAAUCAUGAAAAAAUAAUUCAUCUCCUUAAAAAAAAACCCAGAUAAGCCACAUGGCUGCCAGUCAGAGUCCUGUGGUCUGUAAUAAAUAAUAACCAGAGCCACUGUGUGGACAUGAUAGGAUUCCAUGACAUUUGGGGAUCUCGUGCAGCUUCUUUCAUGUAAAUAUUGUAAUUCCAGCAGGACUUUUAAAAAGACUGAUAAUUAGGAGUUCCCAUUGUGUCUCAGUGGUAAUGAACCCAAUUAGUAU